This 854-nucleotide ribosomal RNA is filed under the name Teratocephalus sp. 1 GVDU-2019. RNAcentral's name for it is "SSU rRNA". It matches the Rfam family "Eukaryotic small subunit ribosomal RNA", at positions 99 to 958 of the family's 1831-position model. The record is from RNAcentral. Lineage: Eukaryota; Metazoa; Nematoda; Chromadorea; Rhabditida; Teratocephalidae.
CAUUACAACAGCCAUUGUUUACUUGAUCUUGAUAUCCUACUUGGAUAACUGUGGUAAUUCUAGAGCUAAUACACGCAGCAAAGCUCAGACCUUACGGGACGAGCGCAUUUAUUAGAACAAAACCAAUCGGGCUUCGGCUCGCCGUUGGUGACUCUGAAUAACUCAGCUGAUCGCAUGGUCUUGCACCGGCGACUCAUCUUUCAAGUGUCUGCCUUAUCAACUGUCGAUGGUAGAUUAUGUGUCUACCAUGGUUGUAACGGGUAACGGAGAAUAAGGGUUCGACUCCGGAGAGGGAGCCUGAGAAACGGCUACCACAUCCAAGGAAGGCAGCAGGCGCGUAAAUUACCCAAUCUCAGCACGAGGAGGUAGUGACGAAAAAUAACGAGACCGUUCUCUAUGAGGCCGGUUAUCGGAAUGGGUACAAUUUAAACCCUUUAACGAGGAUCUAUGAGAGGGCAAGUCUGGUGCCAGCAGCCGCGGUAAUUCCAGCUCUCAAGGUGUAUAUCGUCAUUGCUGCGGUUAAAAAGCUCGUAGUUGGAUCCAAAGCCCAGGACCUGGUCCACCUACCGGGUGAGAACUGGGCUCCGGGGCUAAUACUGCUGGUUUUCCCAAUGUGGCCUUCAACAGUUGCAUUGGGUGGCUGGCGAGUUUACUUUGAAAAAAUUAGAGUGCUCAAAACAGGCGUCUCGCCUGCAUACUGGUGCAUGGAAUAAUGGAAAAGGACUUCGGUUCUAUUUUGUUGGUUUUCUGAACCGAGAUAAUGGUUAAGAGGGACAGACGGGGGCAUUCGUAUCGCUGCGUGAGAGGUGAAAUUCUUGGACCGCAGCGAGACGCUCUACUGCGAAAGCAUUUGC